Long non-coding RNA from Myotis daubentonii (Daubenton's bat), 1597 nucleotides. RefSeq lists it as uncharacterized. The record is from RefSeq and is a predicted model, not a curated record. NCBI's taxonomy places the organism in Eukaryota, Metazoa, Chordata, Mammalia, Chiroptera, Vespertilionidae. The transcript has 2 exons.
ACACCUGAAACGGGCGUCAGUGAGCUGUGGGCUGACAAGCCAACAGGAACCGUCCCUUGCUCCCACCACCAGCCGGCAGCGGUUUGCCCUUGGCUGCACAUGAGAAUCACUCAAAUCACCUCGGGAGCUGCUCCCCGGCCACUGAAAUCAGAACUAACCAAGUGUAUCUGUAUUUUGAAACUCCCCAGGUGCGACUGAAGUUGAGACCCACUGCAUACUCGGGGAAGGGAACUUCAGCGACGUGAGCCCCGCCCACUGGCCUGGCCUUCAGAGAAUCCGCCCAGGCUUCUUUAUGGAUUUCUACCCGUCUGAACACUCUACCUUACCCCGGCUGGUGAAGUGUCCCAUCUCUGACAUGUUGCAAUGAUGCACAUGUUACAGAAUGCCUUUACCACAAGGAAUUUCUCCUUUAGCCAGAUUUUCUCUUUGCCCUGACAUACAUGGGUUUUGACACACUUCUAUCAAGGGUCAGACAGUACAUAUUUGAGGCUUUAAGGGCCAUGUGGUCGCUGUUGCAACCACUCGACUCUGCCACUGUGGCACUACAGCAGCCCUCGGACAACACAUAAAUCGGUGGGUGUGGCUGAGCGCCAAUAAAGCCGUUUGCAGAACCAGGCAGCAGGCCAGACCUAACCCACAGCCGUGAGUCUGCAAACUCCUGACACAAGUUCUUUUCAGUUUUGAUUCUGUGAAAAGAAAGAGUAUAAGAAUCUUUCCUUUGAAAGACUUAAGACAGUUCCUAAUUCACCUUCUUUUGCUUCUAAAUCUUUCUGGAGUGCUUAUUUUUAAAGUGUUCUUUUUCUUUCUCCCUCUCAAGUUCUCCUCUAUUGUGCUGGCUCAUGUCGUCCCAAAGACCAUUCUCAUGAGAAUUAUCCAAGCCUGUGUUUAUUUAGACUGACGGGGAAUGAAUUAUGGAAAGAAAGUCAGAAACGAAGACAGUGACAAUUCUAAAGUUCAAUGUGCUAGGUACUAGGGAGAGGGGUGGUCUUCCCCAUUACCUGGUCAGGAGACUGUCCCAUGGAAGCUUCAUGACUGUGUGCUGUUCACUUUUCUCUAAGAUGCAGUCACACAGGAUGGGAUCCAAGUGCACAAGACUAAAGGGAAAGAAGAGGCUAUUAAUAGAGAAGUCCUAGCCUCGCCCCUUCUCAGGGCCCAGCUCAGAAUUCACCUCUUAUCAUAACACCCUUUUUAGCCAGGAUUACUAGAAUCAAAAUGGGACCACACUCCAUGAAACAAUGCACCCCGCAAGUAUGCUUUCCCAGAACAAGGGAGAAGCGGGCUGUGGGGGGAAAGUGGGAUGGGGAAAACUGAAGACCGGGAGUCUUGGCUCAGUUCUGCUACUAGCUAGCUAUGAGUAGGCCAGUACAACCUUCUGAUCAUAUGGAUGUCUUUUAAAAGUGAAAAUAAGCCCGGCCGGUGUGGCUCAGGGGUCGAGUAUUGACCUAUGAAACAGGAGGUCACGGUUCGAUUCCUCGUCAGGACACAAGCCUGGGGUCUGGGGAGUGCAGGAGGGAGCUGAUCACUAAUGUUUCUCUCCCUCUCCCUUCCGCUCUGAAAUCAAUAAAAAUUAAAAAUAAAUAUUAUGGAAUGCUUUUCA